This is a microRNA precursor of Dasypus novemcinctus (nine-banded armadillo), 84 nucleotides long. Lineage: Eukaryota; Metazoa; Chordata; Mammalia; Cingulata; Dasypodidae. The record is from Ensembl.
CCAGUCACAUCCCCUUAUCACUUUUCCAGCCCAGCUUUCUAACUCGAAGUGUUGGACGGAGAACUGAUAAGGGUAGGUGACUGA